Molecule: transfer RNA, 70 nt
Filed under: Dipodomys ordii (Ord's kangaroo rat)
Lineage: Eukaryota; Metazoa; Chordata; Mammalia; Rodentia; Heteromyidae
Rfam family: tRNA
About the family: Transfer RNA (tRNA) molecules are approximately 80 nucleotides in length. Their secondary structure includes four short double-helical elements and three loops (D, anti-codon, and T loops).
Source: Rfam by way of RNAcentral
GGGAAGUUGGCUCAGUGGUAGAGUUCUUGCCUGCAUGCAUGAGGUCCUGAGUUCAAUUCUUCACUACCUU